UACGUAGGGUGCAAGCGUUAAUCGGAAUUACUGGGCGUAAAGCGUGCGCAGGCGGUUUUGUAAGUCUGUCGUGAAAUCCCCGGGCUUAACCUGGGAAUUGCGAUGGAGACUGCAAGGCUAGAAUCUGGCAGAGGGGGGUAGAAUUCCACGUGUAGCAGUGAAAUGCGUAGAGAUGUGGAGGAACACCGAUGGCGAAGGCAGCCCCCUGGGUCAACACUGACGCUCAUGCACGAAAGCGUGGGGAGCAAACAGG
RNAcentral lists this ribosomal RNA (253 nucleotides) under uncultured bacterium. RNAcentral's name for it is "partial 16S ribosomal RNA". It matches the Rfam family "Bacterial small subunit ribosomal RNA", at positions 524 to 776 of the family's 1533-position model. The record is from RNAcentral.